GAUGAACGCUGGCGGCGUGCUUAACACAUGCAAGUCGAACGAUGAAGCCAAGCUUGCUGGGUGGAUUCGUGGCGAACGGGUGAGUAACACGUGAGUAACCUGCCCUUAACUCUGGGAUAAGCCUGGGAAACUGGGUCUAAUACCGGAUAGGAGCGUCCACCGCAUGGUGGGUGUUGGAAAGAUUUAUCGGUUUUGGAUGGACUCGCGGCCUAUCAGCUCGUUGGUGAGGUAAUGGCUCACUAAGGCGACGACGGGUAGCCGGCCUGAGAGGGUGACCGGCCACACUGGGACUGAGACACGGCCCAGACUCCUACGGGAGGCAGCAGUGGGGAAUAUGGCACAAUGGGCGCAAGCCUGAUGCAGCGACGCCGCGUGAGGGAUGACGGCCUUCGGGUUGUAAACCUCUUUCAGUAGGGAAGAAGCGAAAGUGACGGUACCUGCAGAAGAAGCACCGGCUAACUACGUG
RNAcentral lists this ribosomal RNA (466 nucleotides) under uncultured bacterium. RNAcentral's name for it is "partial 16S ribosomal RNA". It matches the Rfam family "Bacterial small subunit ribosomal RNA", at positions 28 to 507 of the family's 1533-position model. The record is from RNAcentral.